CCUACGGGCGGCAGCAGUGGGGGAUAUUGGACAAUGGGGGAAACCCUGAUCCAGCGACGCCGCGUGAGUGAAGAAGUAUUUCGGUAUGUAAAGCUCUAUCAGCAGGGAAGAAAGAAAUGACGGUACCUGAUUAAGAAGCCCCGGCUAACUACGUGCCAGCAGCCGCGGUAAUACGUAGGGGGCAAGCGUUAACCGGAAUUACUGGGUGUAAAGGGAGCGUAGACGGUAAUGCAAGUCUGGAGUGAAAGGCGGGGGCCCACCCACGGGACUGCUCUGGACACUAUGUAACUGGAGUGCAGGAGAGGAAGGCUGAAUUCCUAGUGUAGCGGUGAAAUGCGUAGAUAUUAGGAGGAACACCAGUGGCGAAGGCGGCCUGCUGGACUGUAACUGACGUUGAGGCUCGAAAGCGUGGGGAGCAAACAGGAUUAGAUACCCUGGUAGUC
Molecule: ribosomal RNA, 443 nt
Filed under: uncultured bacterium
Lineage: Bacteria
Description: partial 16S ribosomal RNA
Rfam family: Bacterial small subunit ribosomal RNA
Source: RNAcentral